Molecule: ribosomal RNA, 301 nt
Filed under: uncultured bacterium
Lineage: Bacteria
Description: partial 16S ribosomal RNA
Rfam family: Bacterial small subunit ribosomal RNA
Source: RNAcentral
CAGCAGCCGCGGUAAUACGUAGGUCCCGAGCGUUGUCCGGAUUUAUUGGGCGUAAAGCGAGCGCAGGCGGUUAGAUAAGUCUGAAGUUAAAGGCUGUGGCUUAACCAUAGUACGCUUUGGAAACUGUUUAACUUGAGUGCAAGAGGGGAGAGUGGAAUUCCAUGUGUAGCGGUGAAAUGCGUAGAUAUAUGGAGGAACACCGGUGGCGAAAGCGGCUACCUGGACUGAGACUGACACUGAGGCGCGAGAGCGUGGGGAGCAAACAGGAUUAGAUACCCCCGUAGUCCCUGUCUCUUAUACA